Gymnodraco acuticeps is the source of this 4572-nucleotide RNA transcript. It is a transcript of the gene named platelet-derived growth factor receptor-like, with no coding region annotated. NCBI's taxonomy places the organism in Eukaryota, Metazoa, Chordata, Actinopteri, Perciformes, Bathydraconidae. The transcript is spliced from 2 exons. The record is from RefSeq and is a predicted model, not a curated record.
UUCACUUUUGUUAACAUCAUGCUGGGCAAAUAACAUCUUCAGCAGACACGAUUUGCUAGAAAUCGGAUUACUCAGUGGAAGCGCCGUUACAGACGCGUUUAUCCGCGAAAACAACAUCCUAUCGGAAAUCGCCAGGAAUCCCGGAGACCCAUGAUUCACUAUUCCCGGAACUAAGCGUCGCAGACGGAGAAAGGAACGUAAACAAAAGCGGGGAUGCAGAGCCGGCCUGCUGGAGAGGCUAAGGAACCGCCCGGACAAACCACCGUUACCAAGUAUCUUUUUAACAAAUGCAAGAUCUCUCGCUAACAAGAUGGACGAACUGAGACUACAGGUUGCAACAAACAGGACUGUGAAGGACAGCUGCGUGCUAAUAGCCACAGAAACCUGGCUCCAUCCAUCCAUCCAUCCCGGACUUAGCUAUCGAGCUAGCUGGCCGCACCUCCCAUAGACAGGACCCGAGAAUUGUCGGGGAAAACGCGAGGUGGUGGCCUCAUUAUAUACACUAAGGAUUCUUGGGGCACAAACAAAAUCAGUGUGAGUAACCACUGUUCCCCGAUCCUAGAAAUUAUGACAGUUAAAUGCCGACCUAGAUACCUUCCGAGGGAGUUCAAUGUUGUAUUGAUAACGGCAGUAUAUAUUCCACCAGAAGCCAAUGCUAGCGCUAGAUUUUUUUGCUGCAGUAGCUUAGCAGUUGCUAUAUGACAGCACGGUGUUGCUAGUUAAUUUUCAAAAAUAAAUAAACAAACAAUACCAGUGGGCCAAGCACGAGCCUGUUCAUAUUGUAGCGUUCACCGCUAUUGCCACGCCUUACAGAACCAAUCAAUAGUAUAACACUCAUUAUGACUUUUCCCCACACUCGAAGACAACUCCUACCGUCUCGUACUCCCUCCACACACAUCGGAAAACACACACACACACACCUGGAAGGGGCGGUCUCUCCCUAACUCCCACCAACAACAUUGCCUAAAUAACUUUACGAAUGUACUAAACUGUGCACAUCUGAUAACUGACAUAACUAUUAACUUGGACACGCUACAAUAUUAUCAUUAAUAUUUACAUUAAAACACACACACGCGCACACGCACACGCACACACACACACGUUUGUCCUGCUCCGUUGGAGAUCGCGGUCGUUUACGCUGACUUGUGAGAAAUCUUUCCAUUUUCGAUCUGUGUUCGCAUACUGAGAAUUAUAACAACAUUAGCCAACUAACAGUUUGCGCUUUAACUUACAACGACCCCUGAUAGAUCUCGCGGAAUGUGUAUAAAUAUAUAUAGACGCAUUUUCAUAACAAAACAAUGGGGUUGCUAAGCCGUUGCUAGGUCAAUUGUUGGAGUUGCUAUAGCAACUCCAAGCUACCCCCUGGCGCCGCCCCUGGCUACAUGAUACUAUUAGCAGUCAACAAAGCAUGUAUCUUGAGGCUGUCCACAUCAUUGCGGGGGACUUUAACCAUGCCAACUUAAAGGUAGUGCUUCCCAGACUCUACCAGCAUGUUAAAUGUGCCACGAGGGGGGAUAAAACACUGGACAAGGUCUACACUAAUAUUAAGGGGGGCUACAAAGCUAAAGCGCUAGCGCACCUAGGCCAGUCAGAUCAUGUGUCCCUUCUCCUAAUUCCGGCAUACUCCCCCAUCAGGAAAAGUGUUUCCACCACUAUAAAGACAAUUAAAACCUGGCCUUUAGACGCCACUCCACAGCUGCAAGACUGUUUUGAGAACACCGACUGGGGUUUUUUCAAACAUGAGGACCUGGAACAGUACACAUCAGCGGUCCUGGGAUACAUCAAGCACUGUUCAGACUCCGUCACUGUGGAUAAGCGCAUCCGGGUUCAUCCCAACAAGAAGCCGUGGAUGACUGGAGAGGUGCAGCGCCUGGUCAGGGAGAGGGACAUUGCCUUCAGGACUGGUGAGAGGGAGCUGAACAGCACUGCCAGAGCCGACCUGAAGCGGGGGAUCAAGCGGGCCAAGAUGGACUACAAGGGGAAGAUUGAGGACUGCUUCCGGGGCAACGACUCCAGGCGGGUGUAGCAGAUGACCAACUACAAAAAACCCAGCCACCCCUCGGCCGACGGGGGUGACUCUCAGCUGGCGGAGGAGCUGAACUCCUUCUACGCCCGCUAUGAGAAGGGGCUAUCGGAAGCAGCCACACCAUUACAUCCACCUGCCCUCAGCAGCCUCACCCUCACGGAGCACAAGGUGAGACGCACACUGAAGGCAGUGAACCCGAGGAAAGCAGCGGGGCCGGACGGAGUCUUGGGACGGGUGCUGAGAGACUGCGCUGACCAGCUGGCGGGGAUCUUCACCAAGAUCUUCAACCAGUCCCUGUCCCAGGCCAUCGUCCCAUCCUGCCUGAAAACAUCCACAAUCAUCCCGGUGCCGAAAAAGAACAACAUCAGCUGCCUAAAUGACUACCGUCCAGUGGCACUCACCUCCACCCCCGCUAAAGUUUUUGAGAAGGUGGUCCGUCCCCACAUCGUCUCAUCCCUCCUUCCCGGUCUGGAUCCCCACCAGUUCGCCUACAGGGCCAACAGGUCCACGGAGGACGCCAUCGCCACAGCUCUCCACUCUACCCUGUCUCACCUGGAGAGUAGGGGGAGCUACGCACGGAUGCUCUUCGUGGACUUCAGCUCUGCAUUCAAUACCAUCCUCCCUGACAGACUGGUGACCAAGCUUAGUGCUAAUGCAGACAAAGCCUUCACACAAACCAGCUUCUGUAAUUGGAAAUGUGCAACUGAUAUCACCAAAGGUUUUUCAAGACAUGCAUCCAGCAAGGAAAAUUUGAAAUGCAACGCUCUCUGGAUCGAAUAUGGUGCUCCUAGUGCUACAGGAUCUGAGGUCUCCAUGCUUGUUAAUGAGGGGCAACUGGCAAGAAAUCGCCAAUAUUUAAGUACGAUCGUGGACAUCAUUGAGUUCCUUGUGUCACACCAGCAACCGCUCAGGGGGACGUUGGAUGCUGUGGAGUCAAGAGAAGACGUGGAAAGUGGACUGUUUUUGUCUAUGAUGGAAUAUACACUGAGGAAAGACCCGGCCUUAGCAAAGGCAUUCAGCACUAUUCCGAAAAAUGCCACAUACACAUCACAUGACAUUCAAAACGAAAUAAUAGGGCUCAAGAGUGAAAUAGUGACCAGUGAAAUAGUUGAAGAAAUAGGAGACCGCUGGUACACUUUAAAGGUGGACGGGACCAAGGAUCCAACAGGUUGUGAAAAUGUGUCAAUCGUGGGCCGUUAUCUAAAUAAGAACAAUGAUAUUUUUGAGAGACUGCUGGUAAUGGCCACUACGAAGCAUUGUGGUGCCCUAAGUCUGACAGACCUUGUCAUUUCUGAGCUAAGUAAGGCAGGCUUACAGUAACAACAGACAAAACCCACAGCCAGUGCUAUGAUGGUGCAAGUGUGAUGUCAGGGAAAAGAGGAGGCGUACAGAAAAUACUGCAGGAGAAAGUUGAGAGAGAAGUCCCAUAUGUGCAUUGCUUCAACCACCAAUUACAUCUGGUGGUUAUUCAUGCCAUGUCAUCAGAGAACACUCUGCAAGUAUUUUUUGAUGUGUGUGACAUGCUUUAUCGGUUUCUGAAAAAACCAACUGUGUCCGCAGUGUACACAGGACAACGCCUGAAAAGGUUAUUGGACCAAAGGUGGACCGGUCACCUAGGUACCGUGUCAGUCAUAGUCAACAGUUAUGAUUCUGUCGAGCAGUUCCUUGUGGAGAUUGACAGCAGUGGCCUUCCCACCCAACUAAGAGUAGAGGCAGCAGGCCUCCUAAAAGCAGUUCAAGAGCCCCACUUCAAGUUUACUGCGGUUAUGGUCCACAAAAUCCUCGCCCUUCUGGACCCUCCUAACAAAGUCUAGCAGGAUAAAAAAACAGACCUCUACACUGGAGUUAAGGUUGUUAAAAGUGCGUUGGAUUGCGUGGAGCAUCUCCGGAGUGACUCGGAGUUCCAAGCCAUUUGGGCAUAGUGUUCCACUUGCAGCCCAGCUGAUGCAUCAGAACCAGCGGCUCCUCCACCAAUGAAGAGAGCUCGCCAAGUCCCUACACCUGAAGCAGUACGUGGUUGAGAGUACUAUAGGUCAGCGGGACAUAGGAAGUGAGACAGAGUGCAAGCGGCUCUUCUUCAGCACAUUGGACAGUGUCAUUGGGGAAAUUAACAGGAGAUUUUCUGAACGAAACAGCCCUUUGUGCCCUUGACCCAGAAAAUCCUCACUUUUUGGAUGUGCAGAAGGUGACACCGCUGCUUGAGCUCAUGAAAACCAUGGUGGAAUCUGAGUUUGCUGUAGCUCGAAACUUUUUGCAGUCUGAAAUGGCCCGCUCUACUGGGGAUGUGCACCCGAGAAAAGCCUGCAUGAGACAAUUGGCAUGUGAGGCGGAUCUCACAAAACAAUUUCGGGAAAAAGACUGGAAGGAGCGCUUAUUCAGAAAGUUCAAUAAGCAAACAAGGAGGCUGCAACUUUACUGAAAUAAGUUCCUAGCGGGGCACCAUUGGUCAGCCUCGAAGUCUCUCCGGAAUCUGUGACAGGCGGAGACAACGUCAACGUGACCUGCACAGUGCUGGGGGAGCCGGAGGGGGACGUGAGCUUCACCUG